CACGGUGAAGGAGGAGCUUGCUCCUUUGGAUCAGUGGCGAACGGGUGAGUAACACGUGAGUAACCUGCCCCAGACUCUGGGAUAAGCACUGGAAACGGUGUCUAAUACCGGAUACGAGCUUCAGCCGCAUGGCUAGGAGCUGGAAAGAAUUUCGGUCUGGGAUGGACUCGCGGCCUAUCAGCUAGUUGGUGAGGUAAUGGCUCACCAAGGCGACGACGGGUAGCCGGCCUGAGAGGGUGACCGGCCACACUGGGACUGAGACACGGCCCAGACUCCUACGGGAGGCAGCAGUGGGGAAUAUUGCACAAUGGGCGCAAGCCUGAUGCAGCAACGCCGCGUGAGGGACGACGGCCUUCGGGUUGUAAACCUCUUUUAGUAGGGAAGAAGCGAAAGUGACGGUACCUGCAGAAAAAGCACCGGCUAACUACGUGCCAGCAGCCGCGGUAAUACGUAGGGUGCAAGCGUUAUCCGGAAUUAUUGGGCGUAAAGAGCUCGUAGGCGGUUUGUCGCGUCUGCUGUGAAAACUGGAGGCUCAACCUCCAGCCUGCAGUGGGUACGGGCAGACUAGAGUGCGGUAGGGGAGAUUGGAAUUCCUGGUGUAGCGGUGGAAUGCGCAGAUAUCAGGAGGAACACCGAUGGCGAAGGCAGAUCUCUGGGCCGUAACUGACGCUGAGGAGCGAAAGCAUGGGGAGCGAACAGGAUUAGAUACCCUGGUAGUCCAUGCCGUAAACGUUGGGAACUAGAUGUAGGGACCAUUCCACGGUUUCUGUGUCGCAGCUAACGCAUUAAGUUCCCCGCCUGGGGAGUACGGCCGCAAGGCUAAAACUCAAAGGAAUUGACGGGGGCCCGCACAAGCGGCGGAGCAUGCGGAUUAAUUCGAUGCAACGCGAAGAACCUUACCAAGGCUUGACAUAUACCGGAAAAGUUCAGAAAUGUUCUCCCCGCAAGGUCGGUAUACAGGUGGUGCAUGGUUGUCGUCAGCUCGUGUCGUGAGAUGUUGGGUUAAGUCCCGCAACGAGCGCAACCCUCGUUCUAUGUUGCCAGCACGU
This 1049-nucleotide ribosomal RNA is filed under the name Frigoribacterium sp. 746G18. RNAcentral describes it as "bacterial SSU rRNA". It matches the Rfam family "Bacterial small subunit ribosomal RNA", at positions 65 to 1126 of the family's 1533-position model. The record is from RNAcentral. Lineage: Bacteria; Bacillati; Actinomycetota; Actinomycetes; Micrococcales; Microbacteriaceae.